GCGCCUGUAGCUCAAGUGGAUAGAGCAACGGACUUCUAAUCCGUAGGUUGCAGGUUCGAGUCCUGCCAGGCGCG
Molecule: transfer RNA, 74 nt
Filed under: Bacteroidota bacterium
Lineage: Bacteria; Pseudomonadati; Bacteroidota
Description: Bacteroidetes bacterium (hydrothermal vent metagenome) tRNA-Arg
Rfam family: tRNA
About the family: Transfer RNA (tRNA) molecules are approximately 80 nucleotides in length. Their secondary structure includes four short double-helical elements and three loops (D, anti-codon, and T loops).
Source: RNAcentral